GCCCCCGUAGCUCAGCUGGACAGAGCAAGUCCCUUCUAAUGACAAGGUCGCAGGUUCGAAUCCUGCCGGGGGCG
RNAcentral lists this transfer RNA (74 nucleotides) under Acidimicrobiales bacterium. Its description in RNAcentral is "tRNA-Arg". It matches the Rfam family "tRNA". From Rfam's summary of the family: Transfer RNA (tRNA) molecules are approximately 80 nucleotides in length. Their secondary structure includes four short double-helical elements and three loops (D, anti-codon, and T loops). RNAcentral also lists the same sequence under 2 other names. The record is from RNAcentral. Lineage: Bacteria; Bacillati; Actinomycetota; Acidimicrobiia; Acidimicrobiales.